AUAAAUUCCAUUUUAAUCUCGUUCGAGCUAUCUCUGCACUUGCGGGCACGUCGUACUGAAGCACGAGAAGUUCUCGUCGAAUUCGACUCAUCUUCUACAUCAGGAAGAAAUCUGUGUCAAUCCAUCCUUACUAGGCGUAUUGAGACCGCUCAAUUCGUGGGCUUACCCUUCGACAAAAGGUCGGUAAGAAAGGAUCAUUAACCCUAGAAUUGCAAAGGAUGAGCUCUUGGUAAACUAAUUUGGGCUUCUUUAUGGCUGAUGCUGAAGUUUCAUCAGUUUGAUCGUUUUGGAUCGAAGAAUUUAUAGAAAAUUCGCCGGUUGUCUCAAUCUCCGGCAUUUAAAUCAGAAAUCUAGGUUUGGCAUAUUCUCUAUGUGUCGGUGAUUGGAUCAUUUUUCUUGUUCAAAACCCUAGAAUCUUCUUUCUACUUCUGAAAGAAAACCCUUUAUUUGUUUGUUCGUAUCUCUUGAUUGCUAGUUGGUUGCAAUCUCUAUUUCACCCGAAAAGUUGGUAUUUUUCUACCAAAAACUACCACCUUCCUUAUUGAGUUGGUUACUGUGAUGGGUUGGACGUGAUGAUUAGAAAUGAUGCAGGUAUCGACUGGGACCAUACCAAGUGGGAGCAACUUCUCUAUUUGAACUGCUUCAAUGUCCAAAAAAGGGUUUCAGAAGCUAGAGUGUUUGAAUUUAUUGUCUAGACGCACUGAUGAUAGUGUGUUGGCUGUUUUGAAAGAAGUGGGGCCGGUAAUUAUUGGUUUUGGUUGCCUUAGAUUUGUUGAAGCUGGUUAUUUCGAGAAACUGAGCUGCCCAAGCAGUUGGGUGUUUUUUUGGGAUUUUCAGGAGAGUCAGGCAUAUGUUUGUUGAUUCGGGGUCAUACCUGUGCUUGUUUCAUUAAUAAAGGAGGGUAAUUCCUCAGUAAUGCUCUCAUGAUAAUUUCUAGUCUUGUUUACUACCUCAGACCUGUAGCUCAAGCUGGUGCAAUCCUGUUGUAUGUGGAGCUGCACAAAGGACCUGAACCCCUUGGAAAAGAAAUUGCUGAAUAUGUUUUUUGUGUAUCGGCUCUAGAGAGGAGAAUGCUGUGAUGUAUCAGAAGAGAUGGUGAGGAUUCUUGAGGCUGAUGCCGAGAAGGCAAACGCUGCAGCUUCAUAUGUUCUGUGGGAUCUUUCAAGGUACAGUCCAUUUCUGUUUUCAAAGAAUUGGGUGUAAUUCCAGUUCUGGUUGAGCUUUCCCAGAAUACAUAUGGUGAUCUUAGGGAGAAGCCAUCUCGUGCUACUACAUGACUAAACUAUUAUGCAGCAAACAGGGAUACCAUCUUAUCAGCUGGUGCAAUUCCUGUUCUUAUUGAUCUCUUGAGUGGUGAGCUGGAUGAGGUGAGAGACUAUGCAGCAGAAUGUCUGAUUAACUUUGCAGAAGACCCAUUGUAUCGAGUGCAAGUGUCUUAAGCCUUUAUAAUUCAAUCGUUUGUGACCAUCCAAGAUAGAUUAAUUCAAUUCUAGACUACGGUAAGUGUAUAUUCAGGUCUAUGAUCAAAUAUUGAUCAAUCCACUUAAAAAACGGAUCUGAUGAACCCUGUGAUGUUAUGAUCUUAGGGGCUCAAUGACAUUGUUAUUCUGUUCCUAGCUUUAUACAAUGUAUCAAGUCAAAAUGCAAAGUGUAUAUCCAGCUCUUUGUUACUUUUAGAUUUAAUUUCUAGUAUUACUAAUAAAUUUUUACUUCAAUGGGUCAUGCUCACUUGCUCAAGCUUUAGUUGGCUCUUUCUUUGACUCUAGGUGUGUUACUUCUGUAAGUAAAUUUGAGUAGUUACAUUUUUGUCAACUGAGAAAAAAAAAUUGCAUAUAGAAGCACCUUUAGUUGUUACAAAAACUUACCAUAAAAUGAUAUGGCAAAUCCAUUUGCCUUUACAGAAGAAUAUUUACUAAUUAUCAAGACUUGGUCUAGUCUUUUUAGGUUCUUGAGCUCACAACAUGAGUCCACAUAAGAUUAUAUUUAGUGUAAGUUACUCUAGAUGGUGUUAAUUUAACUUAAUAACAACGUUGCUUGCUUGAUAGCAAUUUGUUAGCUACUUUUCAUUCAAUCUGAUUUAUUAUGUGAUGGACAUUAAUAUAGGUGAGCUUAGCUUUAGUUUCAUAUUACUUGCAUGUUCCAUAUUGCCUGAUUAUGAUCAUAACCAUAAUGCACCAAAGAUGCAUUUAUCAGAUUUGCUCAUUAAAAACCCAUUGUAGAGCUCUAUUGAUUGUCGUCACUGUUGUAUAACAUAUGUUAUAUAUACAUACAUGUAAUGUGUAACUUAAAUACUCAUGCAGUUAUGUAUGUUGGUGAUGUUCCAGAUGCUGAUACACAUACAUUCUUAUUGCAUACAUAUUGGAUAUUGGAUCUGUGACUAUUAUCCCUUUGUUUCUCUACUCGCACUUAGAAUAACUUGCAACUGUAAUUUUUUUAUAAACCUGACAAAAUAAAAAUUUUCUCAGAUGCAGUAAGUUAAAGUAUAUGUUUUCAUUCUUUCCUGUGUCCUACUUCUUUAUGUUCUCCUGACUGUUGCAGUUAUUUGAUCGAGGCCAUCGUAAUUGGGGAUCCAAUAUUAUUAUUAGUUUGUAUGGAUAUAAACCAAAGGAAGACCCACAAAAACAUAUUAGGUAUUUGGUUAAUUGCAUUAUGUGACUAAGGACCCAAUCACAUUAUUAUAUUUUGCAGAUAUAAACUGAUGAUAUUCCUAUGCUAGCAUUCAUUCAAGGAAAACUGAGAACUUCAAAAAUAUUAAUAUUAUAAAAGAUUAAUAGAUUUAGAUAUUUUAAGUCUUUCACCAUGAUUGUUUUUGGAGCCAAUAAACUCAAACCUAAUGACUUGGAAAGACCAAAAUAUCUUAACUAAUGUAGUACCCAUUCUUUUUAUUGGAGUUGAACAGUAUGCAUAUCAUAAUCCACAAUGGCAAAGCAGCUAACCUUAUCCCUAUACACUACUGAUCAAGCAAAAUUGUGUACCCCUACAUGCAUACCAUGACCCAGAAUAAUCAAUUUUCUUGGUAAACACUGUCUCAACCAGGCAAAACAAUAUGGGACAUGAGUGCUGAUUGACGUACAUAUUCAUGAACUUAGUUAUCUGAUCAUCCGUGUUUGUGUUGAGUAGCUGAUGAUGCAUAUGCAGAUUUUUAUUCAUGAUGAUCCAAUUUUCUUUCUUUUUUUUUGGUUAUAAACUUGAUAUCAAUUCGUCAUCAUUGAUAUAAACUUUCCAGUUGAUAAAAGACAUUAGAUAAAUCCAGGUAAAACAAUUCAAGAUCUGUUACCAUAUGCAUCAUAUGUGCAUAAUAUUAUAUUGAUACUGUUUAGCAGUAACCUUGACUUAAUUAUUUACAUUAUCCUGUUUCUGAUGGAUGUUUCCUUUCAUAAUUCCUUCAUGUAUGUUGUUAAAAACUUAUUUUGAAUAGUCAUAACUCAUAAGCUUGCAUAGAGAUUUUUGUGUAACAGAUCAGAAAUAACAACUUAUUGGAAAAGAUGGUUGAAGUGUACCUCAUCAUUUUGCACUAGCACAAAAGUUCACUAUUGGGGCUUGGAACAUUUUUGGAUAAAGAUCAAGUUUGCUUAUCUUGAUUACUUGGAAACUGAGAUUCUUAUAUAAGUUAUUUAUGCUUGCCACCCAUGACAAGCUUCCAGUACCUCAAAUGCUCUUGGAUGUCCCCUUUGCCAAUGGGAUCACCAGUUGUUUAUCUGGUCGAAGUUCUUGUUGAUUCAGGAAGAAUGCUCUGUUUGUUAAGAAACAAGUAUGGUGGUGAUCUAUGGAAUUAAUAAGUAAAUACUUCGGAGGGUCUGCUCUAAAUCAAGCUGCCAAUAGUUUGCUGCAAGUAUGAAAGCUUUGCUUGUUCUCGAAUCUUCAGCACAGGGAUGGGACAUGAAAAUGAGUUCUUCAAACUAAGUUUUGUGGUGAAAAACUUGCAAUGAGGAUUAAAGGAGGGCUUCUUGCAGGGAGGGAGGCUUCUGCUUUGGAACUAUACAAGUUGGAAUCUGGAAGUCCUAAAAGUAACUGGCAGCUGAUAUCCGACAUCAAGAGACGAACCAAUACAACAGGAUUAGGAGAAGAAGACAUGUUAUGCAUCAUGUCAGGCCCCAUCGAAGAUGCAGAUGGUUCAAGUGUCAUGUAAGAGAUCUGUUCUUAUAUGCAGAAAUCUUUCUCGUUUCUUUCUGCAAGACUGGCCAAACAGAAGGAAUCUCCUUAAAAGAAUUCGACGGUUCAUGAGCUAACAACGAUACAGCAAUCCAUCCUUGUGCUGGUUGUGACUCCAUGGUCAGCAGUUGGUGCAGCUUUCAUGAUCAACAGUAUCACCACCACCAGGAACAUCAAGGACAGCAAGAACGACAGCGUGCACUUGCAGCUCUUAGUGGGUCGCCCAGGCUCAAUAUCUACCGUGGAGAAGUAGACAGUUUGUGAGACUGCAAUAAUGCACUGAGCCAUGCAUACCUUGUCGAAUUCAUGGAUGAAGUUUUCUUUGGAUGUAGCCAAUGGCUGGACUCUGUUCGACAUCGCUGCUUUUCACGACUGAAACAUGCAGUCAGUUCAACAUUAUUGUGGGCUUCUAUUUGUUCCACUCUGCUGUGUCUGAUCCAUGCAUGAAAGAAGUUAUGCUUUUACA
Long non-coding RNA from Musa acuminata AAA Group (dessert banana), 4618 nucleotides. RefSeq lists it as uncharacterized. The transcript is spliced from 3 exons. NCBI's taxonomy places the organism in Eukaryota, Viridiplantae, Streptophyta, Magnoliopsida, Zingiberales, Musaceae. The record is from RefSeq and is a predicted model, not a curated record.